This 1189-nucleotide long non-coding RNA is filed under the name Brassica napus (rape). Its description in RNAcentral is "long non-coding RNA (BNAP_LNC012817)". Lineage: Eukaryota; Viridiplantae; Streptophyta; Magnoliopsida; Brassicales; Brassicaceae. The record is from RNAcentral.
GAAGGGAACGACUCGGACACCUCUUGCUUUGUCGGGGUCUUGUGUGGAUCCUUACUGUGGUAGGUGGUUGCAGUCCGUGUGGUUGGUGACAGCGGAGGUCUCUGCUGGUUCGUGGUUCAGAUCCUUUUUGCUUGAUUCGGGUUGGAGAUUCAUAAGGCCUGGGCUUUGUAGUGGUCUUUGCGGUGGUUUUAGAAUGGUGGUUUGGGUCCGACACUGGUGAAGAGAUACAAUUUCUGAUUGCUUGAAGAAUCUCUUGUUUGCGGUUCUUCCGUUAGGGUUAUGCUUUGUUAGUUCUUGUGGGGUUUGAGAUGUGGCUUGUCUUCCUUUGAAGUUUAGUGGUGUGUGAAGUGCCUUCUCAACGGAUUAGGAUAUGGGGAGGCUAUAUGUUCCGGACUUGGUAUCUUUAAGCCGUUCAUUCUUCUUGGUCGUAGCUUUUGAUCAGGUGUGCUCAUGCUUCUCCUCGUUCUCGUGAGCCGUUGGUAAUCUGUGUUUGUCAGGGUCUCUUUUGUUGGGUUCGUCUCUUGGAUGGUAAUCUGUUGUGUAGGCAUCUACUUGCUUCUUCUCUAUGGUGUGAGGUAUCAAGACGAAGCUAUGGGUUCGAUCUUCGGCUCUUCUCUUGCGAGGACGUGACCACUCUCUUGCUUUGUAGAUGGUUGAGUUUGGGUACACGAGGGUCCGCGUGCAAGAGCUGCUGAUCCUUUUAGACGUUUUCCCCGCUUGGAGUUUCAAGGUUCGACCUUGUGCCUUUCCUCUCUUGGGUUGUUCGUGGUCUUAUUGCAGACGCGGUAGUGGUUGCUAUUGGCUCCUUUUGCGCCUCGGUUUUUUAUUGUUUCCGCCGGUGUUGUUUCUCGUGAGGUUGUGGUUGUGACCUUGAUGGAUUGUGGUCUUCUCAAGUCUCUGUUUUUGAGUUCAACUCGUGCGUCUUCAGGUUCUUGGUUAUGAUUGGCGACCUGGUGCUGUUAUGGAUUUCGGUUUGAGUUCCUUUGAUCUUUAAGUAUUUCAAGUCAUUAUCCCUUGUUUGUGUUAGUCUCUAGAGUAAGGUUUCUAUUUAUGUUUUUAAUAUGGGUCUCUGGGAUGUUCGAUAUGUGAAAUCGCCGGCUAUGGUCUUCGGAAGAGUUGCGACUCUUGUCGACUUUUGUCAUGUAACGAUGGUACUUCAGUCUAAGCUAAAUGAAAUUCAAAGAUGACA